GUAGGGAAUAUUGGACAAUGGGCGAAAGCCUGAUCCAGCCAUGUCGCGUGAUAGAUGAAGGCCCUCUGGGUUGUAAAUAUCUUUUAUCUGGGAAGAAACUCCUCUAUUCUUAGAGGCCUGACGGUACCAGAGGAAUAAGCACCGGCUAACUCCGUGCCAGCAGCCGCGGUAAUACGGAGGGUGCAAGCGUUAUCCGGAUUCACUGGGUUUAAAGGGUGCGUAGGCGGGUUGAUAAGUCAGUGGUGAAAGCUCCGGGCUUAACUUGGAAACUGCCAUUGAUACUGUCAGUCUGGAAUGUCGUAGAGGUAAGCGGAAUGUUGCAUGUAGCGGUGAAAUGCUUAGAUAUGUUACAGAACACCAAUUGCGAAGGCAGCUUACUAUGCGAUAAUUGACGCUGAGGCACGAAAGCGUGGGGAGCAAACAGAAUUAGAUACCCGGGUAGUCC
This 445-nucleotide ribosomal RNA is filed under the name uncultured bacterium. RNAcentral describes it as "partial 16S ribosomal RNA". It matches the Rfam family "Bacterial small subunit ribosomal RNA", at positions 354 to 796 of the family's 1533-position model. The record is from RNAcentral.